This 379-nucleotide transfer-messenger RNA is filed under the name Brucella daejeonensis. Its description in RNAcentral is "Ochrobactrum daejeonense transfer-messenger RNA". It matches the Rfam family "Alphaproteobacteria transfer-messenger RNA". Rfam says of the family: Bacterial tmRNA, also known as 10Sa RNA or SsrA, is named for its dual tRNA and mRNA-like properties. Its role is to liberate the mRNA from a stalled ribosome. To accomplish this part of the tmRNA is used as a reading frame that ends in a translation stop signal. Lineage: Bacteria; Pseudomonadati; Pseudomonadota; Alphaproteobacteria; Hyphomicrobiales; Brucellaceae. The record is from RNAcentral.
CCUCUUCCAAUCGGAAGGAACCACGCCUAUAUACCGCAUGUCGGCGCAAGCUGACUAUGGUGAUAAAUGGACGGUGUAAUAAACCCAUUGGACCCGGGGCGGUACCCGGCGCCUCCACCAGAAUACAGAUUGUCGAUGCCGAUAUCGGUUGCCGGUUUGUGUUGUGGCGGGGGCGAAACAGGAUCGACAAGGGUGUAAAGAUCGCUCUUUACUCGGCAUGAUACCACCGUUAUCGGGUCAAUUGAGUAGUUGCAAAUGACAACAAAGCUCAGGGUUACGCUCUCGCUGCCUAAUGGCGGUGCGGGAAACCCACUCUAAGCCCUUGGGGUUAGCACCUUAAGGCGGGGUUCGGAGGCACCUGGCAACAGAAGCCUCCACU